RNAcentral lists this unclassified non-coding RNA (280 nucleotides) under Hevea brasiliensis (rubber tree). The record is from RNAcentral. Lineage: Eukaryota; Viridiplantae; Streptophyta; Magnoliopsida; Malpighiales; Euphorbiaceae.
GCAAAGCCGCGUUACGUUUCCGAGGGCGCUUGCCAGCGGCGCCGUGGCGACUCCGCCCGGCGUGAACCAUUGCGAGCCGUACGUGAUCGUCACCGGAGUGCCGCUGCCCGGCUGCGUUAUGUAGAUGCACCCGGUCUGUCCGGCCUUCUGGCCCGUCGGGUUCUGCAGCGUGAAGUUCGUUGCCGACGUCGCCUGAAAGGUGAAGUUGAAGCCCGCGCCAAAAUUCGGCGUCACGCUCGAUGUGCCGGACAGCGCGACAAGUGCUGCCGCGGCCGACGCA